This 253-nucleotide ribosomal RNA is filed under the name uncultured bacterium. Its description in RNAcentral is "partial 16S ribosomal RNA". It matches the Rfam family "Bacterial small subunit ribosomal RNA", at positions 524 to 776 of the family's 1533-position model. The record is from RNAcentral.
UACGUAGGGUGCAAGCGUUGUCCGGAAUUAUUGGGCGUAAAGAGCUCGUAGGCGGUUUGUCGCGUCUGCUGUGAAAAUCCAGGGCUUAACCCUGGACCUGCAGUGGGUACGGGCAGACUAGAGUGCGGUAGGGGAGAUCGGAAUUCCUAGUGUAGCGGUGAAAUGCGCAGAUAUCAGGAGGAACACCGGUGGCGAAGGCGGAUCUCUGGGCCGUAACUGACGCUGAGGAGCGAAAGCAUGGGGAGCGAACAGG